UUUAUUUGAUCCUUGUGAAGAGAUGGCAUCAGCUUAUGGGACACCAGGACUUGGUUGUGUGUUGAGUAAGAGUGGCCACAUUACUGCAACCAAAUUAUGCAACACUAGUUUCUUCCCUGGAUUUCAAGCAACAAGGCAAGCCUCAAAAUUCUUGGAGAAGGAAACAUGCCACACUUUUAUGAGCUGCAGUGCGAGAGCUACUCUGACCUUUGACCCUUCAACUGAACCCUCAAAGCUAAAAGAGAGGAGACACACCCUUGAUCCAGCUGCUCCAGAUUUCCUUCCACUUCCAUCCUUUGAAGAAUGCUUUCCAAAGAGCACGAAGGAGUACAGGGAAGUUGUUCAUGAGAAAACUGGCCAUGCCUUCAAGGUGCCAUUUCGACGUGUCCAUCUCUCAGGGAUGGAAAAAUACUUUGAUACAUAUGAUACUAGUGGUCCGCAAAAUAUGAACCCUCGUGUAGGUCUUCCCAAGAUCCGGAAAGAUUGGAUUGACCAAAGAGAGAAGCUAGAUGAACCCAGAUGCACACAGAUGUAUUAUGCUAAGAAGGGAAUCAUUACAGAAGAAAUGCUGUUCUGUGCCACUCGUGAGAAUCUUGAUCCUGAAUUUGUGAGGUCUGAGGUUGCUCGUGGAAGAGCUAUCAUCCCCUCCAACAAGAAACACCUGGAAUUAGAACCAAUGAUUGUCGGUAGGAACUUCUUAGUCAAGGUGAAUGCUAAUAUUGGUAACUCUGCUGUUGUGAGUUCUAUUGAGGAAGAGGUACAUAAGCUUCAAUGGGCCACUAUGUGGGGUGCUGACACGGCCAUGGAUCUGUCAACUGGUCGCUACAUCCAUGAGACUCGUGAAUGGAUUCUUCGGAAUUCUGCUGUGCCGGUUGGAACUGUUCCAAUUUAUCAAGCAUUAGAAAAAGUGAAUGGCAUUGCAGAAAAACUUACAUGGGAAAUUUUUAGAGAUACUCUUAUUGAACAGGCAGAGCAGGGCGUUGAUUAUUUCACCAUCCAUGCUGGUGUGCUGCUUCGCUACAUUCCUCUUACAGCAAAACGAAUGACUGGCAUUGUUUCACGAGGAGGAUCUAUUCAUGCAAAAUGGUGUCUAGCUUAUCACAAAGAGAACUUUGCAUAUGAGCAUUGGGAUGAUAUCCUUGACAUUUGCAAUCAGUAUGAUGUGGCACUGUCUAUUGGUGAUGGACUUAGGCCUGGUUCUAUAUAUGAUGCUAAUGACAGUGCACAGUUCGCAGAGCUUUUAACACAGGGUGAGCUCACACGCAGGGCUUGGGAAAAGGAUGUGCAGGUGAUGAAUGAAGGUCCAGGACAUAUCCCUAUGCACAAAAUUCCCGAAAAUAUGGUUAAACAGUUGGAUUGGUGUAACGAGGCUCCAUUCUAUACACUAGGUCCCUUGACAACUGAUAUUGCUCCUGGAUAUGAUCAUAUUACCUCAGCCAUUGGAGCAGCCAACAUUGGUGCCCUUGGAACUGCACUUCUUUGUUAUGUCACACCUAAAGAACACCUAGGGCUGCCAAAUCGUGAUGAUGUGAAAGCAGGUGUUAUAUCAUACAAGAUAGCUGCCCAUGCUGCUGACUUGGCGAAAUGCCAUCCCCAUGCACAAGCAUGGGAUGAUGCACUAAGCAAAGCGAGGUUUGAGUUUAGAUGGUUGGAUCAGUUUGCUUUAUCAUUGGAUCCUAUGACUGCCAUGGCCUUCCAUGAUGAGACACUUCCGUCCGAGGGUGCCAAGGUUGCACAUUUCUGUUCAAUGUGUGGACCUAAGUUCUGCUCUAUGAAGAUAACAGAAGAUGUUCGCAAGUAUGCUGAUGAGCAUGGAUAUGGAACACCCGAGGAAGCUUUGAAGCAGGGCAUGGAAUCUAUGAGUGCUGAAUUUCUUGCUGCCAGCAAAACUAUCAGUGGAGAGCAGCAUGGUGAAGUUGGUGGGGAGAUCUAUGUGCCUGAAGGCUAUGCCACACGCCAGUAAAAGGAGCUUGUUUACAUCUUGGUAUUUGCCGAAGCUUGAAAAUGACUCCAUGUUACUACAGCAGUUGACAUUUCCUGUGGGGUAUAUGCCAUUUGGCCACUAUGGAGGCAUACUGGCUGAGAAAGACCCUUUGAACCUGAACAGGUUAAUACCUGCGUAGGGAGUGUGCAAGUAUUUCUUUUCUUUUCUUGCAUGUUCAGGGUACUCUACCAACCUUUCCAGACAGCUGACUCCAAGCCGCUAAGCAAUUUUGUUGCAGUUGGCCAGGCUUAUUCAUGGAUGGGAAGUAACUUUAUUUCCUUUAUUUCAUUAUUAGUCUUUAUUUUUCAAUUAUGAUAGAUGCAAUAAAUGUCUACAGAGCGGCACCACUAAUUUUCUAUGUCUACAUCGUAUGCUAUUCUAUUGGCAAAUGCCCAGUAAGAAGUAUAUUUAAGAUC
Dendrobium catenatum is the source of this 2400-nucleotide RNA transcript. It is a transcript of the gene named phosphomethylpyrimidine synthase, chloroplastic, with no coding region annotated. Lineage: Eukaryota; Viridiplantae; Streptophyta; Magnoliopsida; Asparagales; Orchidaceae. The record is from RefSeq and is a predicted model, not a curated record. The transcript has 6 exons.